RNAcentral lists this unclassified non-coding RNA (1331 nucleotides) under Hevea brasiliensis (rubber tree). The record is from RNAcentral. Lineage: Eukaryota; Viridiplantae; Streptophyta; Magnoliopsida; Malpighiales; Euphorbiaceae.
AAUAACUAGUCCUACUAGUACUAAACAAGAAAGAAAAUAAUAAACAAACACUAAAUAGGAAUCCCAAACAAACUCAAACUUCCUAAACAAAAUAAAAUAAUACUUCCUAAAUAAUAACAGAAUUCUUAAAUUUCCUAAUACUAAAAAAAUCUAAAUUAAAGAUCUUAAAUUUACAAUUAAAAAUUGAAUAAAAAUAAUUCCUAAAUUAAAUCUUCCUUGACUGCAUCAAGAACAUUUCUCCAAAUAUGUCAUUGAGCUAUUUAACCAAAUUGUAGCUACUAACUUAUUGCAUAAGUACACAAGACAAGCAUUCAUGAUCAUCAUAAGGGCAACAUGGCCGAACCACUUCCCAUGUUCAAAGGAGCAAUCACAAGAGCUAGAGCCAAGGCAUUGCAAGGACUAGUUCAAGCACAUAUUGAUCAAGUAUGACAACCCAACAUGCAAGGAAUUCAAGAGGAGCACAAGUGUAGCGUGUUAAUGCAAUUCAAUAUUCAAAGUGAACCAAACCAUGGUCAAGCAAAGUGAGCCGAACCAAGGUCCAACCAAACCGAACCUCUUCAAUCCCAAAAAGAUUCCAAUUCUGUCAAUUCAGCAACCUUGCACCUUGUAAGCUUUAUCCAAGUUGCAAAGGAAAGUGAGAGAAUCUCUUGUCCAAGAUAUAAAGGAAAAAGCAACAUUGUCAUUUUCAACUAUAAGAUAAAAGAAACUUUUGUAAUCAAAUUUCAAAAUUCAACACUUGGAAAAACUCUUGGAAAAACUAUAAUGUGAUUUUUACUUAAAAUGGGAAUGAAUGCAUUUUAUCCAACACUUGGAAAAACUCUUGGAUAAAGACUCCAAGUGUUGGCAGAACCAAGGACAGCCUUAUAAGGCUUUCUUCUUCAUUUUGUUAGUUCAGUUUUAGAAUCUGCCAUUGUUAAGCUUGUAAGCUUAAGAACUCCUUUGAAAGAGUUUUAUGUAUAUUUUUCCUAAGUUCCACUAAGAACUUAGAUUCAAUAUAAUUUAGUCACUUAUAUUAUCACUUAUAUUAUUGCAUUUUGAUGUUUAGUAUAAUCUAGCACAAGUUACCUUAUUUGUAUCAGAUCCUUGACUUUCUUCUACUAAUAAAAGUGGUUAUUCUUCACAUAUUGGUGUUUAUGUUAUCUUGUUAGUAAAAGAGUUGUUUAAGUUGUGAUUGUUGCUUGUUUUGGACGUUCCAUGGGAAAAUCAUUUCAACAAAAAGUGAGCUUGCUUCUAGCCUAGACGUGAGCUUGCAUCAAGCACUUGCAUAAGAUAACAGCUAACGCAUGCAUUUUGCAACCGUCAAAACUGUCUAGGGUAAACUCUUUCACACU